GUUAUAGGGACAAGUGAAUAAGUGCACAUGGCGGAUGCCUUGGCGAUUACAGGCGAUGAAGGACGUAGUAGCUUGCGAUAAGCUGCGGGGAGUUAGCAAACAAACUUUGAUCCGCAGAUUUCCGAAUGGGGAAACCCACCCUUUUAGGGUAUCACUCACUGAAUACAUAGGUGUGUGAGGCGAACGCGGCGAACUGAAACAUCUAAGUAGCUGCAGGAAAAGAAAUCAACCGAGAUUCCCAAAGUAGUGGCGAGCGAAAUGGGAAGAGCCUGUACGUGAUAGUCGUUUUGAUAGUGGAAUCCUCUGGAAAUAGGAACCAUAGCGGGUGAUAGUCCCGUACACGAAAUCAAAGCGGUGGUACUAAGCGUACGACAAGUAGGGCGGGACACGAGAAAUCCUGUCUGAAUAUGGGGGGACCAUCCUCCAAGGCUAAAUACUCGUAAUCGACCGAUAGUGAACCAGUACCGUGAGGGAAAGGCGAAAAGAACCCCGGGAGGGGAGUGAAAUAGAUCCUGAAACCGUGUGCAUACAAACAGUAGGAGCAGACUUGUUCUGUGACUGCGUACCUUUUGUAUAAUGGGUCAGCGACUUACAUUCAGUGGCAAGGUUAACCAGAUAGGGAAGCCGUAGAGAAAUCGAGUCCGAACAGGGCGAUAGUCGCUGGGUGUAGACCCGAAACCA
This 681-nucleotide ribosomal RNA is filed under the name Duganella qianjiadongensis. RNAcentral describes it as "partial 23S ribosomal RNA". It matches the Rfam family "Bacterial large subunit ribosomal RNA", at positions 1 to 723 of the family's 2925-position model. The record is from RNAcentral. Lineage: Bacteria; Pseudomonadati; Pseudomonadota; Betaproteobacteria; Burkholderiales; Oxalobacteraceae.